This 497-nucleotide ribosomal RNA is filed under the name uncultured bacterium. Its description in RNAcentral is "partial 16S ribosomal RNA". It matches the Rfam family "Bacterial small subunit ribosomal RNA", at positions 28 to 507 of the family's 1533-position model. The record is from RNAcentral.
GAUGAACGCUGGCGGCGUGCCUAAUACAUGCAAGUCGAGCGAACAGACGAGGAGCUUGCUCCUCUGACGUUAGCGGCGGACGGGUGAGUAACACGUGGAUAACCUACCUAUAAGACUGGGAUAACUUCGGGAAACCGGAGCUAAUACCGGAUAAUAUAUUGAACCGCAUGGUUCAAUAGUGAAAGACGGUUUUGCUGUCACUUAUAGAUGGAUCUGCGCCGCAUUAGCUAGUUGGUAAGGUAACGGCUUACCAAGGCAACGAUGCGUAGCCGACCUGAGAGGGUGAUCGCCCACACUGGAACUGAGACACGGUCCAGACUCCUACGGGAGGCAGCAGUAGGGAAUCUUCCGCAAUGGGCGAAAGCUUGACGGAGCAACGCCGCGUGAGUGAUGAAGGUCUUCGGAUCGUAAAACUCUGUUAUUAGGGAAGAACAAAUGUGUAAGUAACUAUGCACGUCUUGACGGUACCUAAUCAGAAAGCCACGGCUAACUACGUG